Molecule: ribosomal RNA, 451 nt
Filed under: uncultured bacterium
Lineage: Bacteria
Description: bacterial SSU rRNA
Rfam family: Bacterial small subunit ribosomal RNA
Source: RNAcentral
UACGGGAAGGCAGCAGUGGGGAAUAUUGCACAAUGGGCGCAAGCCUGAUGCAGCCAUGCCGCGUGUAUGAAGAAGGCCUUCGGGUUGUAAAGUACUUUCAGUCGUGAGGAAGGUGUUAAGGUUAAUAACCUUAGCAAUUGACGUUAGCGACAGAAGAAGCACCGGCUAACUCCGUGCCAGCAGCCGCGGUAAUACGGAGGGUGCGAGCGUUAAUCGGAAUUACUGGGCGUAAAGGGCACGCAGGCGGUUAAUUAAGUUGGAUGUGAAAUCCCCGGGCUUAACCUGGGAAUGGCAUUCAAGACUGGUUAGCUAGAGUCUUGUAGAGGGGGUAGAAUUCCAUGUGUAGCGGUGAAAUGCGUAGAGAUGUGGAGGAAUACCGGUGGCGAAGGCGGCCCCUGGACAAAGACUGACGCUCAUGUGCGAAAGCGUGGGGAGCAAACAGGGAUUAGAU